UUUCCGUAGGUGAACCUGCGGAAGGAUCAUUAUUGCAUAACCGAGGUGCGAGGGCUGUCGCUGACACAAUUGUGCCUGCACGCCCGAGUGUCACGACACAUAACGAGCUAACCCCUACUUGCUCCGCCGCGUCAGCCGCCCUAUUGCGUGGGGGGAGAGGGGCAUACGUUUUUACACACACUAUGUAGUCCGUAGAUGAUUUCUUUUGUCUGUUUGGAAUGGCUCAAUCUAAACAACUUUCAACAACUGAUCUCUGGGCUCUCGCAUCCAGGAAAAGCG
This 279-nucleotide unclassified non-coding RNA is filed under the name plant metagenome. Its description in RNAcentral is "partial contains small subunit ribosomal RNA, internal transcribed spacer 1, and 5.8S ribosomal RNA". The record is from RNAcentral.